RNAcentral lists this non-coding RNA (70 nucleotides) under Bicosoecida sp. CB-2014. Lineage: Eukaryota; Bigyra; Bicosoecida. The record is from RNAcentral.
CGCCCGUCGUGGAGCGCGCGGGACCUCAGCACGCUGGCAACGGCGCAGGGCGACCCGCCGCACCCGGACG